RNAcentral lists this ribosomal RNA (253 nucleotides) under uncultured bacterium. RNAcentral's name for it is "partial 16S ribosomal RNA". It matches the Rfam family "Bacterial small subunit ribosomal RNA", at positions 524 to 776 of the family's 1533-position model. The record is from RNAcentral.
UACGGGGGGAGCAAGCGUUGUUUGGAUUUACUGGGCGUAAAGGGCGCGUAGGCGGUAGCACAAGUCAGUUGUGAAAUCUCCGGGCUUAACUCGGAAAGGUCAACUGAUACUGUGCGACUAGAGUGCAGAAGGGGCAACUGGAAUUCUCGGUGUAGCGGUGAAAUGCGUAGAUAUCGAGAGGAACACCUGCGGCGAAGGCGGGUUGCUGGGCUGACACUGACGCUGAGGCGCGAAAGCCAGGGGAGCGAACGGG